Molecule: unclassified non-coding RNA, 175 nt
Filed under: uncultured fungus
Lineage: Eukaryota; Fungi
Description: partial contains 18S rRNA, ITS1, 5.8S rRNA, ITS2 and 28S rRNA
Source: RNAcentral
AAGGAUCAUUAGUAUAUUUUUUCAGUUGUGAAAUACUUCGGUAUUCUGCACUGAAUAAACACUUUUUGUGAACUCGUACAACCCACUUUCUAUAAAAUGUCUGACAAUAUUAGCUCAUUGAGCAAAGUAUAUCUUAAAUUAAAUAUAACUUUUAACAACGGAUCUCUUGGCUCUC